This 328-nucleotide unclassified non-coding RNA is filed under the name Chytridiomycota sp. RNAcentral's name for it is "partial contains small subunit ribosomal RNA, internal transcribed spacer 1, and 5.8S ribosomal RNA". The stretch from base 1 to 47 matches the Rfam family "Eukaryotic small subunit ribosomal RNA", at positions 1785 to 1831 of the family's 1831-position model. Lineage: Eukaryota; Fungi; Chytridiomycota. The record is from RNAcentral.
AAAGUCGUAACAAGGUAACCGUAGGUGAACCUGCGGUUGGAUCAUUACCGAUUGCUUUCACUCUCGCAUCUUGUCACAAGGUGCUUGAGAGUGACUGUAUCUACCUUUUGUGAACUGUCCUGUCUCUGGCGGCCGGGCUGGAUGCAAUACAAACCUAUUGCUCUGGUCUGUCAGCUUGGCUGGUCAUCACUGACCAGUUUGCAAGCCGUGGACAAACCGCCAAUGGCUUCGGCCAAAGAUCAACUUAAUGAUUGCCCCAUUUCCAGUCUGAAGUGAACCAUGUAUUUAAAUAUACAAACAACUUUUGGCAACGGAUCUCUUGGCUCUC